AGGUGGUUAGUCCAAAAAAAGACCUUUGAUUUCGGCUCAAAAGAUCGCGGUGCAAGUCCGCGACCACCUU
RNAcentral lists this transfer RNA (70 nucleotides) under Retropinna semoni (Australian smelt). RNAcentral's name for it is "tRNA-Arg". It matches the Rfam family "tRNA". Rfam says of the family: Transfer RNA (tRNA) molecules are approximately 80 nucleotides in length. Their secondary structure includes four short double-helical elements and three loops (D, anti-codon, and T loops). The record is from RNAcentral. Lineage: Eukaryota; Metazoa; Chordata; Actinopteri; Osmeriformes; Retropinnidae.